UAUUGCACAAUGGGCGAAAGCCUGAUGCAGCGACGCCGCGUGAGUGAAGAAGUAUCUCGGUANGUAAAGCUCUAUCAGCAGGGAANNCCNNNANGGCACCUGACUAAGAAGCCCCGGCUAACUACGUGCCNGAAACCGCGGUAAUACGGAGGGGGCAAGCGUUAUCCGGAUUUACUGGGUGUAAAGGGAGCGUAGACGGCGACGCAAGUCUGGAGUGAAAGCCCGGGGCCCAACCCCGGGACUGCUUUGGAAACUGUGCUGCUGGAGUGCAGGAGAGGUAAGUGGAAUUCCUAGUGUAGCGGUGAAAUGCGUAGAUAUUAGGAGGAACACCAGUGGCGAAGGCGGCUUACUGGACUGUAACUGACGUUGAGGCUCGAAAGCGUGGGGAGCAGA
This 393-nucleotide ribosomal RNA is filed under the name uncultured bacterium. RNAcentral's name for it is "partial 16S ribosomal RNA". It matches the Rfam family "Bacterial small subunit ribosomal RNA", at positions 362 to 772 of the family's 1533-position model. The record is from RNAcentral.